Long non-coding RNA from Erigeron canadensis, 333 nucleotides. RefSeq lists it as uncharacterized. The record is from RefSeq and is a predicted model, not a curated record. NCBI's taxonomy places the organism in Eukaryota, Viridiplantae, Streptophyta, Magnoliopsida, Asterales, Asteraceae. The transcript has 3 exons.
GGACCUUCUAUUGUAAUGGAUACAACUGAUGAACAAUGUAAUCAAUCAGUACUUAAAACCAAUGGGUUGCUCUCCCUGUAGCUGGGAAAUAUAUUCCCUCAAGAUUUCCCAACUGAUAUAUUGCUGCAAGUAGGUGAAUCAAGUUUCCCUCUUCACAAGAGUACCUUGAAAUGACUGAUGAGUAUUGUGUUGCUAGCCGGACGUAUGCCUUCCUCACUCACGUAGCCUUAUCUAGUCUUUUAGGAGCUAUAACUGUUUUGAACUCAUGUGAAGAUCUUCUUCCUAUUGCCGACGAGCUCAAUAUCAUGCACCAAUGUGUUGAAGCUAUUAGUG